RNAcentral lists this ribosomal RNA (301 nucleotides) under uncultured bacterium. Its description in RNAcentral is "partial 16S ribosomal RNA". It matches the Rfam family "Bacterial small subunit ribosomal RNA", at positions 509 to 809 of the family's 1533-position model. The record is from RNAcentral.
CAGUAGCCGCGGUAACACGAAGGGGGCUAGCGUUGCUCGGAAUGACUGGGCGUAAAGGGCGCGUAGGCGGCGAUCAAAGUCAGGCGUGAAAUUCCUGGGCUCAACCUGGGGGCUGCGCUUGAUACUUGGUUGCUUGAGUGGGGAAGAGGGUCGUGGAAUUCCCAGUGUAGAGGUGAAAUCCGUAGAUAUUGGGAAGAACACCGGUGGCGAAGGCGGCGACCUGGUCCUUGACUGACGCUGAGGCGCGAAAGCGUGGGGAGCAAACAGGAUUAGAUACCCCCGUAGUCCCUGUCUCUUAUAU